RNAcentral lists this ribosomal RNA (271 nucleotides) under uncultured bacterium. RNAcentral describes it as "partial 16S ribosomal RNA". It matches the Rfam family "Bacterial small subunit ribosomal RNA", at positions 524 to 794 of the family's 1533-position model. The record is from RNAcentral.
UACGGAGGGUGCGAGCGUUGUUCGGAAUUACUGGGCGUAAAGCGCGUGUAGGCGGCCGAUUAAGUCUGGUGUGAAAGCCCGGGGCUCACCCUCGGAAGUGCGCUGGAAACUGGUCGGCUAGAGUACGGUAGAGGAGAGUGGAAUUCCCGGUGUAGCAGUGAAAUGCGUAGAGAUCGGGAGGAACAUCAGUUGCGAAGGCGGCUCUCUGGACCAGUACUGACGCUGAGGCACGAAAGCGUGGGGAGCAAACAGGAUUAGAUACCCCGGUAGU